Molecule: non-coding RNA, 105 nt
Organism: Triticum aestivum (bread wheat)
Lineage: Eukaryota; Viridiplantae; Streptophyta; Magnoliopsida; Poales; Poaceae
Source: Rfam
UACAAAGAAGAUUAGCAUGGCCAUAAAAUUGGAACGGUACAGAGAAGAUUAGCAUGGCCCCUGCGCAAGGAUGACACACAAAAAAAACAAUAUUUACAUUUUCUU